ACGAACGCUGGCGGCGUGCUUAACACAUGCAAGUGGAGCGACGAACCAGGGCUUGCCCUGGGGCAGAGCCGCGAACGGGUGAGUAACACGUGGGCAACGUGCCCCGAUGAUCGGGACAACCCGGGAAACCCGGGCUAAUACCGAAUGUGCUCCCCUCACACCAGUGAGGGAGUGGAAAGGAAAGCUUCGGCCGUCCGCAUCGGGAUCGGCCCGCGGCCAUUAGCUUGUUGGUGAGGUAACGGCNCACCAAGGCUGCGAUGGGUAGCUGGUCUGAGAGGACGAUCAGCCACACUGGGACUGAGACACGGCCCAGACUCCUACGGGAGGCAGCAGGUGGGGAAUCUUGCGCAAUGCGCGAAAGCGUGACGC
Molecule: ribosomal RNA, 369 nt
Filed under: uncultured bacterium
Lineage: Bacteria
Description: bacterial SSU rRNA
Rfam family: Bacterial small subunit ribosomal RNA
Source: RNAcentral